GAGCCACUAGCUCAGUUGGCAGAGCAUUUCACUUUUAAUGAAAGGGUCUGGAGUUCGAAUCUCCAGUGGCUCACCA
RNAcentral lists this transfer RNA (76 nucleotides) under Candidatus Faeciplasma avium. RNAcentral's name for it is "tRNA-Lys". It matches the Rfam family "tRNA". Rfam says of the family: Transfer RNA (tRNA) molecules are approximately 80 nucleotides in length. Their secondary structure includes four short double-helical elements and three loops (D, anti-codon, and T loops). The record is from RNAcentral. Lineage: Bacteria; Bacillati; Bacillota; Clostridia; Eubacteriales; Oscillospiraceae. RNAcentral also lists the same sequence under 2 other names.